UUAAAUGGGGGAUUCUCGAAGAGAAAACACGUGAUUUUCACUUAAAUGUGGGAUUUGGGAAGAGAAAACACGUGAUUUUUGGGUUAAAUGGACGAUUCUCGAAGAGAAAAGGCGUGAUUUUCAGGUUAAAUGGGGGAUUCCCGAAUGGGAAACGUGUGAUUUUCGGGUAAAAUCGGGGAUUUCUGAAGAGAAAAUGCGUGAUUUCCGGGUAAAAUGAAAGAUUUGCGUAGUGAAAACACGUGAUUUUCGGGUUAAAUGGCGGAUUUGUGAAGAGAAAAUGCGUGAUUUUCGGGCAGAAUGGAAGAUUUGCGACGUGAAAACACGUGAUUUUCGGUUAAAUGGGGGAUUUGCGAAGAGAAAACACGUGAUUUUCGGGUUAAAUGGCGGAUUUGCGAAGAGAAAACGCAUGAUUUUCGGGUUAAAUGGGGGAUUCUCAAAGAGAAAAUGCGUGAUUUUCGGGUUAAAUGGGGGAUUCUCAAAGAUAAAACACGUGAUUUUCGGUUAAAUGGGGGAUUUGCGAAGAGAAAACGCGUGAUUUUCGGCUUAAAUGGGGGAUUUGCGAAGAGAAAACGCGUGAUUUUCGGCUUAAAUGGGGGAUUUGCGAAGAGAAAACGCGUGAUUUUCGCUUAAAUGGGGGAUUUGCGAAGAGAAAACGCGUGAUUUUCGCUUAAAUGGGGGAUUUGCGAAGAGAAAACGCGUGAUUUUCGGUUAAAUGGGGGAUUUGCGAAGAGAAAACGCGUGAUUUUCGGGUUAAAUGGGGGAUUUGCGAAGAGAAAACGCGUGAUUUUCGGUUAAAUGGGGGAUUUGCGAAGAGAAAACGCGUGAUUUUCGGUUAAAUGGGGGAUUUGCGAAGAGAAAACGCGUGAUUUUCGGGUUAAAUGGGGGAUUCUGCGAAGAGAAAACGCGUGAUUUUCGGUUAAAUGGGGGAUUUGCGAAGAGAAAACGCGUGAUUUUCGGUUAAAUGGGGGAUUUGCGAAGAGAAAACGCGUGAUUUUCGCUUAAAUGGGGGAUUUGCGAAGAGAAAACGCGUGAUUUUUGGGUUAAAUGGGGGAUUUGCGAAGAGAAAACGCGUGAUUUUCGGUUAAAUUGGGAUUUGCGAAGAUUAAAUGCAUGAUUUUCGGGAUAAAUGGAGGAUUCUCGAAGAGAAAACGCGUGAUUUUCGCUUAAAUGGGGGAUUUGCGAAGAGAAAACACGUGAUUUUUGGUUAAAUGGGGGAUUCUCGAAGAGAAAAUGCGUGAUUUUUGCUCAAAUGGGUGAUUUCCGAAUUGGAUAUGUGUCUUUUUCGAGUUAAAAGGGGGAUUCUGGAAGAGAAAACGCAUCAUUUUCGGGUUAAAUGGGGGAUUCUCGAAGAGAAAACACGUGAUUUUUGCUUAGAUGGAGGAUUUGCGAAGAGAAAACGCGUGAUUUUUGGGUUAAAUGGGGGAUUCUCAAAGAGAAAACGCGUGAUUUUCGGUUAAACGAGGGAUUUUCAAAGAGAAAACGCGUGAUUUUCGCUUAAAUGGGGGAUUUGCGAAGAGAAAACGCGUGAUUUUCGGUUAAAUGGGGGAUUCUCGAAGAGAAAACGCGUCAUUUUCGAGAUAAAAGGGGGAUUUCCGAAAAGAAAAUGCGUGAUUUCCGGUUAAAUGGGGGAUUUGCGAAGAGAAAACGCGUGAUUUUUGGGUUAAAUGGGGGAUUCUCGAAGAGAAAACGCGUGUUUUUCGGGUGAAGUGGUGGAUUUGCGAAGAGAAAACGCGUGAUUUUCCGGUUAAAAGGGGAUUUGCGAAGAGAAAACGCGUGAUUUUCGGGUUAAAUGUGGGAUUUGUGAAGAGAAAACGCGUGAUUUUCGCUUAAAUGGGGGAUUUGCAAAGAGAAAACGCGUCAUUUUCGAGUUAAAUGGGGGAUUUGCGCAGAGGAUAUGAGUGAUUUUCGGGUUAAAUGGAAGAUUCUCCAAGAGAAAACGCGUGAUUUUCGGGUUAAAUGGGGGAUUUCCGAAGAGAAAACGCGUGAAUUUUGAGUUAAAUGGGGGAUUUGCGAAGAGAAAACGCGUGAUUUUCGGUUAAAUGGGGGAUUCUCGAAGAGAAAACGCGUGAUUUUCGGGUUAAAUGGAGGAUUCUGGAGAGAAAACGCGUGACUUAUGCCUAAAUGGGGGAUUUGUGAAGUCAUUGCCUUAUUUUUGCUUUAAUUGGGUGGUUCUCAAAGUGAAAAUGCAUGAUGUUAUGUUUUAUUUGAAAUUUUCAUAGAGCCAUUUGAUGACAUUCGGGUUAAAUGGAGAAUUUUUGAAGAUGAAAUGCAUGAUUUUUGCUUUAAUGUGGAAUUUUCAUUGAGAAAGUGAUGAUUUUCUUUUUUAGUUUCGGAUUUUGUAAUCAGAAUGCUUGUCAUUUGGGUAGAUGGGGUAUUUUCUAAGAGAAAAUGCAUGCUAGUUGAGUAAACGGGGGAUUUUCAGAGAGAAAAUGGAUGUUUUUCUGGUAUAUGUGGAUUUUUUUGAAAGAAAAUGCAUGAUUUUGUAGUGAUGCAAUCAGUCAACCUGAAAUAUCUAUAUUAUCCAUGUGUAUGUAAGUAAUCAAAAUGCCUACCUUUUUUUGCCAGCUCCUCCAGGAAUGUUGCUCCUUUUUCCUUUUUUGAGGAUCCGAAGUGCUCAGGGAAGCAGCACACUCAUCCACGAUGUAGACUCUUGAACUCUUAUUGCCUUAUAAGAUGCUCUGAUAGUGAAUCCUGAAAACAAACAUCCCAAAGUUACAAUAAAGACCCUUUCCUGGGGGUAGUCAGCCCUUAAAUGCUAUCUUGGAGAGCUGCAGCCAGGCUCCACCUUCUAUUCACACUGGAUUGACUCCACCUGUGCUCCCACAGCUGACUAAGUUCUGCCUCAGCCAAUCAAUCAGUGGUUCAGGCCAUGACUCAGCAGCUCCCAUUCACCUGGGGAGGUGCAGCCCUGCGAGCACAGCUGAUGGCAAUUUGGCUGUGGGGUGGGGCUGAGACGGGCUCCUCCCCUCCCUGACCGCAUUUAAGGGCUGGGAAGCAAAGGGGGCAGCAUCUGAGUCUGGCUGUGCUUCCUUGAGGGUGUGGGGGUGAGUUCUUCUGUAUUGGAGGGCUGUGAUCUAUCCCUUUGCUGGGGGUUCAUAGCUGCAUUUUGGGGCUGGCGGCCAUCUGUACCUGGAAACUGCUUCUUUGGGGGAGCGAGUGAGUAUUGGUCCUUGGAAUGGGGUAAGUGGUUCUUUCUGAAUUUCAGGGCUCUGAGCUCCUCUUUUGGGGAGAUCUUGACCCCAUGUAAGAACUGGUAGCUUUCAGGCCUGUAUCUGAACUUGGAGACUGCUUCCUUUGGGGUGUGGGGGGAAGCCCUUAAAUGGGGUGAGGGAUUCCUGCUUUAUUGUAGAGCUGUGAGCCAUGUCUUUCCGGGGAGAUCCUGAGCUGGAUUAGAGCAGCUGUAUCUGCUGUGUGUGUCCCUACGGUGCCUUCAGUCUUGUCCUAAGGGAGAUGAAGGGGUUCUCUCCUGUUCUCUGAGCAGUUGAUGGAUGGACUGACACCCAUUCCUUCCUUUCACAGUUCCCUUGCUUCUGGAUUGCUUCAAUGAGCCCUAAUGAUGCUGAUUGGCUGACUGAGCGCUGCAGUUCUGGACACGGUGACAGUUAAUACCCUAUUCCGUUCAGGGGUUCUGCAUUCUGCAGGUCCUGUUUGCAGCCCUUUUUAAGCCCAUUUCUUUCUGAUUGAGCCGCUGUUUCCUCUUUCAUGGUUUUCACCUCAUGAUCUCCAACCUCGGCUCCAAAUGUGGUUUGUCUUCUCCCCCAUCAUCCCAUCUCAUGGCUGUAAUUCACAGUGCCAUGUGUUAAUUGCACCCACGCAGAGUUGUUUAAGGGCAUGCUGGGCAUCAUUAUCAUGUUUUAAAUUAUGUCCUCUCUUCUGAUCUCAGUUUGCAGCUCAGUGGGUUUUAAGGAUUGUUGGGACUCCUCUAAUUGGUGGUGUGAGGCCUGUGGAGCAGCUAAUGGAACAUCACGACUAUGCUGACUUCCCCAGGGUCUUACGGUCAUUUCUGUUUCACCAGCAGAUCUGGGUUUGUGUUAAUAAAAAAGAAAGGAUGACUGUAGUCAUCCUCUUCUGGAUGACUACAGUCAGGAUCUCCAGAUAUCUCAUCCCAAUUGUCAGGAGAUGCUAUUUGUUUCCUAAUCUGUAUGAUACCCAAACCCCCACACCUUUUCCUCCCAUCCCCUGACCCCCAUUAAGUAACUUAUAAACAGCAUUAAUUAUAUCCCUAAUACUCCCUUGUGUCACCCGUAGAGCAAUGCACGCAGGGUGCAGCCCUACAUAUGCGGGGCAGCGCCUUCAUUCCUGCAUUGUGUCCAACAGGCGGCAGCAGAGAGCUGCAGCGCUCCCGAGUGCUGUAACGACUGCACGGAGAGAUGUGCGGAUCUUCACGGGAACAGCAAGGAACCGAAAGCUGCAUUUCCUGGGAUGCCCUGGAACUCCACUUUGCUGACUGGUAAUUGUCUGCCCAGCAGGUAAGGACAAUGCACACCCACCAGUGUUUACCCCUUACUGAGUGAGACACAAGGUAGGGUUCCUAGAGCUCCUUUCUGCACUUCAGGGUUCCCCGAAGGCUGCCCGUCCUAUUCUUUGCAUGUUCUCCUUGGCUCUGGCCUUUCACAGCGGUGUUCUCCUUCCCUUUGCCCUUGGCGUUCCCUACUGCAUUCUCUUGUCCUCUUGUUUUUGCAUUCCAUGUCAUGUUCUCUUGGCCAUUGCCCUUGACUUUCUUGGCCACAUUCACUUCAACAUUCAGUUUUGGCGUUCCCUGCAGUGCUCUCUUGCCCUUCUGUUUUGGCAUUUCUUGUCGUGUUUUCUUGGCCAUUUCCUUGGCAUUUCCUUCCACAUUCUCUUGGCUCUUACCUGGGCAUUCCCUUGCCCUCCUGUUUUUUGCGUUCCAUGCCACAUUCUCUUGGCUACUGAACUUCUUUUUCUUCUGCCACGUUCUCUUCAGCAUCCAGUUUUGGCGUUCCCUGCAGUGUUCUCUUGCCCUCCUGUUUGGGCAUUUCCUGCGGUGUUCUCUUUGGCAUCAUGUUCUGGUGUUCCUAGCCACCUUCUCUCAGCCUUCUGCCUUGGCCUUCUUUGCCGUGUUCUCUUGGGCCUCCUGUUUUGGCACUUCCUGCCACGUUCUCUUAGCCCUUGCCCUGACCUGAGCAUUCCAUGCCAUGUUCCCUCGGCCUUCUGUUUUGGCAUUUUUUGCUGCGUUCUCUUGGCCUUUGCCCUUGGUUUUUCCUGCUGCUGUCUCCUUGCCCUCACCUUGGCUUUCCGUUGGGUGCUCUCCUUGCUUUUGCCCUGCCCUUCGCCUUGGCUGUUUGCUUUGCCUUUACCUUGGCUUUUGGUGGGAGUUCAGCUUGCCUUUUUUCUUUGGCUCUCUGGGAUUGGCUGGGAGGCAGCGUGAAUGUUAAUCUUGACCUGAACCUGUAGCUUAAUGUGAGCUCUAAUGAUAAUUAUGUUAACCCACAGUGUAUAUGUAAACCUAACUAUUAACCCAAUAUUAAAAAUGUCUCUUAACCUAAAUGCUGCAAUAAAAAUAAUGCUGCUUGUUUUCUGUCACAGUACCCUUAAUCCUAAUCGUAGUGUGGAAAACAAUUGUUAAGCUAAUUGUCACUUCAAACCUAUGCGUAGCAUUCAUUAUAUUCCUAAUACUCCCUUGUGUCACCUGUAGAGCAAUGCACGCAGGGUGCAGCCCUACAUAUGCGGGGCAGCGCCUUCAUUCCUGCAUUGUGUCCAACAGGUGGCAGCAGAGAGCUGCAGCGCUCCCGAGUGCUGUAAUGACUGCACGGAGAGAUGUGCGGAUCUUCACGGGAACAGCAAGGAACCGAAAGCUGCAUUUCCUGGGAUGCCCUGGAACUCCACUUUGCUGACUGGUAAUUGUCUGCCCAGCAGUGCUGAUCUGAUGCAACGCCCUCAGCAAACUUACCAAAGGUGCACUCCAUGCCAUCAGGCAGGUCUUCAAUGAAGGUAUUGGACAGAACAGGCCUGAAGAGCACUCAGGAUGGCAUACCAGCUGCAUUUAACAUGAUCGAGCAGCACUCAUUAGGCCAGGCGGUUCAGCUAGUUCUUCAUCUAGGAAGCAACAUACCCGUCCAAGUAGCUGGCUGCAAUCUUUGAGAGAAUUUCAAGGGAUAGCACAUCAAAG
This is a long non-coding RNA of Gallus gallus (chicken), 6130 nucleotides long. The record is from Ensembl. Lineage: Eukaryota; Metazoa; Chordata; Aves; Galliformes; Phasianidae.